This 1077-nucleotide ribosomal RNA is filed under the name Halomonas sp. RNAcentral's name for it is "bacterial SSU rRNA". It matches the Rfam family "Bacterial small subunit ribosomal RNA", at positions 79 to 1154 of the family's 1533-position model. The record is from RNAcentral. Lineage: Bacteria; Pseudomonadati; Pseudomonadota; Gammaproteobacteria; Oceanospirillales; Halomonadaceae.
UUGCUCCAGGCGUCGAGCGGCGGACGGGUGAGUAAUGCAUAGGAAUCUGCCCGGUAGUGGGGGAUAACCUGGGGAAACCCAGGCUAAUACCGCAUACGUCCUACGGGAGAAAGCAGGGGAUCUUCGGACCUUGCGCUAUCGGAUGAGCCUAUGUCGGAUUAGCUUGUUGGUGAGGUAAUGGCUCACCAAGGCGACGAUCCGUAGCUGGUCUGAGAGGAUGAUCAGCCACAUCGGGACUGAGACACGGCCCGAACUCCUACGGGAGGCAGCAGUGGGGAAUAUUGGACAAUGGGCGAAAGCCUGAUCCAGCCAUGCCGCGUGUGUGAAGAAGGCUUUCGGGUUGUAAAGCACUUUCAGUGAGGAAGAAGGCCUUGGGGCUAAUACCCCCGAGGAAGGACAUCACUCACAGAAGAAGCACCGGCUAACUCCGUGCCAGCAGCCGCGGUAAUACGGAGGGUGCGAGCGUUAAUCGGAAUUACUGGGCGUAAAGCGCGCGUAGGCGGCGUGAUAAGCCGGUUGUGAAAGCCCCGGGCUCAACCUGGGAACGGCAUCCGGAACUGUCAGGCUAGAGUGCAGGAGAGGAAGGUAGAAUUCCCGGUGUAGCGGUGAAAUGCGUAGAGAUCGGGAGGAAUACCAGUGGCGAAGGCGGCCUUCUGGACUGACACUGACGCUGAGGUGCGAAAGCGUGGGUAGCAAACAGGAUUAGAUACCCUGGUAGUCCACGCCGUAAACGAUGUCGACUAGCCGUUGGGGUCCUUGAGACCUUUGUGGCGCAGUUAACGCGAUAAGUCGACCGCCUGGGGGAGUACGGCCGCAAGGUUAAAACUCAAAUGAAUUGACGGGGGCCCGCACAAGCGGUGGAGCAUGUGGUUUAAUUCGAUGCAACGCGAAGAACCUUACCUACCCUUGACAUCGUGCGAACUUUCAGAAGAUGGAUUGGUGCCUUCGGGAACGCACAGACCGGUGCUGCAUGGCUGUCGUCAGCUCGUGUUGUGAAAUGUUGGGUUAAGUCCCGUAACGAGCGCAACCUUGUCCUAUUUGCCAGCGAUUCGGUCGGGAACUCUAGGGAGACUGCCG